This is a long non-coding RNA of Cervus elaphus (red deer), 2576 nucleotides long. RefSeq lists it as uncharacterized. Lineage: Eukaryota; Metazoa; Chordata; Mammalia; Artiodactyla; Cervidae. The record is from RefSeq and is a predicted model, not a curated record. The transcript has 6 exons.
CAGAAAUACAGAGCUGAGUCCGCUGCCUCGGUGGAGUUGAUUUCCAGGCUGCAGGGAAGAGCUGACGUGCUGCACUGUGGACUGGCUGCUGGCACAGAAAUACAGAGCUGAGUCUGCUGCCUCGGUGGACUUGAUUUCCAGGCUGCAGGACACUCAGUUCCUUGUUUGGAUCAAUGAAUGUGCUGAGCCAGGUCAUCAGGGUGCCCACAGAAGAUGAUGACCUGCCAGUUAUCUGUAUUUCUGCAGGCACAGCUUUGCCAGAUGAAAAGCUCAGAACUGCAUAUUUUAAUAAAGAUUCUUAGGAAUCCAUCAAGGUCACAUCCUGUGUCUUCUUUGCCAGAUACCCUGCAAACUGGGGAAUAUGAGACUCCUUACAGCUUCCUUCCCCAUCCUUGGAUUUGUGUUCCCACCAGCUCUUUUCCACCUCCCCUUCUGCUCAUCCUGUGUGGCCAUUUACAGGUUUUUCUUUCUGGUUUAUGCUCUUUCAAGGAAGAGCUGACGUGCUGCACUGUGGACUGGCUGCUGGCACAGAAAUACAGAGCUGAGUCCGCUGCCUCGGUGGAGUUGAUUUCCAGGCUGCAGGGGACAGCUGAGAGAAGCAGUGAUGAACCUUGAGGAGUCUCUGGGUCUGGAUUAAUGAAUGUGCAGAGCUGGGUGAUCAGGGUGCCCAGGGAAGACAGAUGACCUGCUGAUUAUCCUUAUUCCUGAAGGCACAGCUUUAUCAGGAAGAGCUGACGUGCUGCACUGUGGACUGGCUGGCUGGCACAGAAAUACAGAGCUGAGUCCGCUGCCUCGGUGGACUUGAUUUCCAGGCUGCAGGGUGAGUUUGGGAGGCACUCAGCUGAAAAUCGCUGUUUGAACACUUCUGUAUCUUUCACAAUGUCUUGAUUCUGUAAGUUAACCAAAAACUCAAAUGCUUCUUCCAGCUUUUUGUGAUACCAGUAAACAUAAGUAUGUCCUUUUUUGGGGACGCAGCCUAUCUUUGCUUUCUGGUCUUUUCCUUUAACCAGAUGACUGGGACUCUGGGUGACCUCAGUGUCCAUGGAGCCUGUGAGGAAAGGGACAGAAAGUUCACAAAAAGCCCUUGAAGGAGGCUGAUUUUGCAGCCGCAGGAGAAAGUCCUGAAUCUAGACGCCAAGAAAUUCACCUCUCCUGCUCCCCAGAAUAAAAGAGCCACACAGCACAGGAGGCCGAGGCACCUGGCUGGCUGGGGGAGGAAGCAGGGCAGUGGCUUUUCCUCUCAGGCGCCUCAUCCCCCUUCAUCACCUCCGUGUGACGUGGUGGCUUCCUAUGGUCAUCACAGUCCCCAUGUACAUGAGAGGCUAGCUUUUCAUAGACUGGGAGGGCAGGGGAAGCUGGUGGAACAACUAGUGUGCAUUUCAGACUGCUUUAAUUUUCUUUUUCCUGAUUCUACUCUUUCACUAUUUCUUUAAAAAUAAAUGUUAUUUCCAUAUUAACAAUUUAUUUCCUUUUUUAACUUGUAGAUUUGCCUCCUCCCUUCCCUCUCAGACAGUACAUAGCUUGCUGUUACCAAUAAUAGUGUCCACUGCACUUAAAAAAUCAUAAAUCUGCCUCUUAAAUUAAAAAAUUAAAUGUUGAACUUGUGCAAAAUAAUAUUUAUGAUGAAUAUGCAAUGCAUUUAGGGAAACAAUAAAAUGAAUCCUCUUGUUUGAAUCAAUCAGCUUAGGAGUUAGAUUAAUACUAAUAAUUUUUAAGCCCCUGUGUUAUUUUUAUAGACUUUAUUGUUGUUUUUCUACCAUGUCCAUGUAACUACACACCUGAAGUUUAUAUUUUUAUUCACUUGCUUUUCAUUACAGUUUUUCUCAUUUAUGUAAGAAUCUGCAAAUUUUGUAUUAAUCAAUGUUGUAUGUCUUUUAAAUUUAUUUGUGGGAGUUCUUUUUCUUGGCCAUGCUCUUUUUCCAUUCAACAUAUGCCUAUGUUAUUAAAUCAUGUUGUCUCAUGUAGUUUUAGAUAAAUCAGUUUCACUAAUACAUAGGAUUCCAUUUAUUAGUUUGUCAGAAUCUAUUAUCCAUUUAACCUCAUGCACCCUAGUUGUUUUGUUUUUUUAACCCAGAUUUUAAUGCUACUAUAAAUAGGACUGUAUUCUUAUACAAUUCUUUACAUACUUAGGUGAAAGUUUCUCUAUACCUGGGAUUGUAAAAAUUGAGCCUUAGGGUCACCAUGUCUAUUUUACAUAGCAAGACAAAAUGGUUUCCAAAUUAAUUAAGCAAGUAAAUAGUCCCACAACAGUUUAUCAACUAUAUUCAAAUGUUCCUCCUCAGCACUCAGUUGGCACGCACUGUUCUUUUAAUUUUGUCAGUUUAUUAGGUUAAAGUGGUAUCUCACUAUAGCUUUAGUUUGCGUUUUUAUGACGGCUAAGGAGAUUGAUAUUCUGAAUUAAUACACUUAUAGGCCACUGGUUUUUCUGUACAUUGCUCUUUCCUCAUAUUUUUGGUAGAUUAACUAUCAUUUAUUUGUGUUAUGCCCGAUGUCCGAAUCCCCAAGCGGGAAGAGAGAAGGCUUCCAAGACAAUGCAACUCGCAGGAAGGGAAGUUUAUUACUGACUCGAGCCAGGA